UUGCUUCAGCAGCACAUAUACUAAAAUUGGAAGGAUACAGAGAAGAUUAGCAUGGCCCCUGCACAAGGAUGAUACGUAAAUUCAUGAAGGGUGAAGGGUUCCUUUUUUUU
This is a small nuclear RNA of Heterocephalus glaber (naked mole-rat), 110 nucleotides long. Lineage: Eukaryota; Metazoa; Chordata; Mammalia; Rodentia; Bathyergidae. The record is from Ensembl.